CGCCACUGCAGUCCAGCCUGGAUGACAGAGUGAUACUCCGUCUCAAAACCAAAAAAAGAAAGACCCCGCCAGGUGUUGCUGAUAACUCGCCCACCAUCACAGUGAAGGAGAAGCUCGGCUUCACGAGAGCUUCGCCUGUGACCGCACCUGUGACUGAAAUGGCCGUGACUCCUGAGUAUUCUAGCUGCCUCCGCCUUUGAGACAGAGCAGGAAGAACCUGUGGAUGGUGGGAUUCCCUCUUCUUGGAGAAGGGGAUGAGCAUUUCCCGCUGCCCUCCUGACACGCCCGUGGCUGUCUGCCUUGCUCUGUACCUCCAGACUUCAUGGAAAGCAUGCUCGACCUUUGACUUCUGGGUGGGUGACUUGGGGCACACCCAAGCAGGAGACCAGCCUGCAGAGAGGGGGCCUAUGUCACUCUGGCCACUCUGUGGUUGGGCUGGCUGUGGCCCACAGACCCUCUGCUCCCUCUGUGAGUCCCCUUGGGCCCCUUUCCUCUUUCCUAGGGUGUGAGUGUGGCACCCUUCAUGACACUCUUCCUAAUCACCCCAUAGGGUGUGCCGCUUCCUUCCUGCGGGAACUCUAACUGGCCCUGUGUAAUGAUCUUUUACACAGAGCUCGUAAAACUAACCCCUGGCCCUGAUGAGUCUUUGGAACAUGAGGCUUACCGGUGAUGAAUAACUCCCAGCAAUCACUGAAACAUCACAAGCUUCUGUCUCUGCUUCCCGCUCCACACCGCCCUCUGCUCUGCUUAGUCUGGUUCAUGUUUUGCAUUCACAUCAUUGCUAUUGUUGUUUUUUCUCCCGUUCCUCUGGACUCCUUUUUGUUGCCCAGCACUAACAAUCAUAAAACUUAUGUUCUAAAAUCAUAAAACUGCAAUGGAGAGCAAAGACAAAAAACAAAUGGUUUUAAGUUAGAGUUGUAACACUACAUAAUUUACUACCUCGGGAGGAUGGGAUGAGAAUUCUGGUCAAAUGAAAUUUCUCUGGUCUAUAAAUCUGCUAUUUCCAAUUGGUACUUUGGCUUUCCAAAAUGUUUAACAAACAGGACUUUGGGGGCUACAUGUUUUUCACAAACCUGUUUGGGAUAUAUUAGUUAUAGUUUUUGGCUACACAAGAAAGUAAGUCAAAAUUUAAUUUGUGCAAGAAUAAUAGACUUGUUUUUUUAAUGAUAAAUGAAAAGAAAAUUUGGAAGAGACUGUGUUUCCUCACAGAUUCUGCCACCUUGGGACUCCUAACCCUACCAAAAAAUCUAGAUGGGAUGAGGAAUUGUUUUCCAUAUUUUCAUGCAUUUUAGAACAAUUAUUUUUUAUUUUUAGUUUUAGCUCCACAAAUAUGACCAAUGAUAUUGCAUAUUAAAGUAAAAAUUUGAAAACAGCUAUGCAUCCACAGGUUAAAUUUUUAUUUCUGUGGUUUAAAUCUGAUUUCACCACAUUUUCCCCCAAUGAAAUGGAUGCUUGGUAAUGCAGUUAAAUAUCUGACUUUUCAGGAGCAUAAAAUAGCAGCUCUUCUUCCUGGGGAUGGGGCAGUGGCCACCCCAAGGUGUGGAGGGCUUUCCUGUGGAAGCAUCACAUGGACUCAUCAUCUGUGGCUCCAGUGGAGAAACCUGGAGUCAAUGGAUGUACGCUGGAGGGAGACCAACUUCAACUUCAUACGAGGAAACAUUUCUAAUAAUUAGGUUAGCGGAGGUACAAACUGCCUUGAAGGGCUGUGCUUUUUCUGCCUCUGAAAUUUCUUCAGGAAAGCCUGAGCUGUAUGCUGCAAAUGAGAAGCUUAACUUGUUAACCUCAAGCAAGGAUUAAAUUAAGUUCCAGUGACAUAUCACUGAUCUUCAUAUAGACCAAUGGAACAGAGCAGAGGCCUCAGAAAUAAUGCCACACAUCUGCAACUGUCUGAUCUUUGACAAACCUGACAAAAACAAGCAACUGGGAAAGGACUCCCUAUUUAAUAAAUGGUGCUGGGAAAACUGGCUAGCCAUAUGCAGAAAACUGAAACUGGAGCCCUUCCUUAUACCUUAUAUAAAAAUUAACUCAAGAUGGGUUAAAGACUUAAAUAUAACAUAAAACCAUAAAAACCCUAGAAGAAAACCUAGACAAUACCAUUCAGGACAUAGGCAUGGCCAAUGACUUCAUGACUAAAACAUGAAAAGCAAUGGCAAUGAAAGCCAAAAUUGACAAAUGGGAUCUAAUUAAACUAAAGAGCUUCUGCACAGCAAAAGAAACUAUCAUCAGAGUCAACAGGCAACCUACAUGGGAGAAAAUAUUUGCAAUCUAUCUAUUUGACAAAGGGCUAAUAUCUAGAAUUUACAAGGAACUUAAACAAAUUUACAAGAAAAAAACAACCCCAUCAAAAAGUGGGCAAAGGAUGUGAACAGCCACUUCUCAAAAGAAGACAUUUAUGCAGACAACAAACAUAUGUAAAAAAGCUCAUCAUCACUGGUCAUUAGAGA
This 2444-nucleotide long non-coding RNA is filed under the name Homo sapiens (human). RNAcentral's name for it is "HSALNT0025642". Lineage: Eukaryota; Metazoa; Chordata; Mammalia; Primates; Hominidae. The record is from RNAcentral.